RNAcentral lists this ribosomal RNA (713 nucleotides) under Salmonella enterica. RNAcentral's name for it is "partial 23S ribosomal RNA". It matches the Rfam family "Bacterial large subunit ribosomal RNA", at positions 2090 to 2802 of the family's 2925-position model. Lineage: Bacteria; Pseudomonadati; Pseudomonadota; Gammaproteobacteria; Enterobacterales; Enterobacteriaceae. The record is from RNAcentral.
CCCGUGAACCUUUACUAUAGCUUGACACUGAACAUUGAGCCUUGAUGUGUAGGAUAGGUGGGAGGCUUUGAAGCGUGGACGCCAGUCUGCGUGGAGCCGACCUUGAAAUACCACCCUUUAAUGUUUGAUGUUCUAACGUGGACCCGUGAUCCGGGUUGCGGACAGUGUCUGGUGGGUAGUUUGACUGGGGCGGUCUCCUCCUAAAGAGUAACGGAGGAGCACGAAGGUUGGCUAAUCCUGGUCGGACAUCAGGAGGUUAGUGCAAUGGCAUAAGCCAGCUUGACUGCGAGCGUGACGGCGCGAGCAGGUGCGAAAGCAGGUCAUAGUGAUCCGGUGGUUCUGAAUGGAAGGGCCAUCGCUCAACGGAUAAAAGGUACUCCGGGGAUAACAGGCUGAUACCGCCCAAGAGUUCAUAUCGACGGCGGUGUUUGGCACCUCGAUGUCGGCUCAUCACAUCCUGGGGCUGAAGUAGGUCCCAAGGGUAUGGCUGUUCGCCAUUUAAAGUGGUACGCGAGCUGGGUUUAGAACGUCGUGAGACAGUUCGGUCCCUAUCUGCCGUGGGCGCUGGAGAACUGAGGGGGGCUGCUCCUAGUACGAGAGGACCGGAGUGGACGCAUCACUGGUGUUCGGGUUGUCAUGCCAAUGGCACUGCCCGGUAGCUAAAUGCGGAAGAGAUAAGUGCUGAAAGCAUCUAAGCACGAAACUUGCCCCGA